AGUCGAGGGAGAAGUUGCUUUCGGGCAGCAGGAACCGGCGAACGGGUGCCUUUUCGUAUGCAACCUACCUAUAACUGGGGGAUAGCCCGAAGAAAUUCGGAUUAAUACCCUAUAAUAUUUACUACUCGCAUGAGUUGGUAUCUUAAAACUCCGGUGGUUAUAGAUGGGCAUGCGGCCUAUUAGUUUGUUGGUGAGGUAACGGCUCACCAAAACUACGAUAGGGAGGGGUUCUGAGAGGAUGAUCCCCCACACUGGUACUGAGACACGGACCAUACUCCUACGGGAGGCAGCUGUAGGGAAUAUUGGUCAAUGGACGCAAGUCUGAACCAGCCAUGCCGCGUGCUUGAAGACGGCCCUAUGGGUUGUAAACUGCUUUUAUAUAGGAAGAAACCUUUCCACGUGUGGAAAGCUGACAGUACUAUUUGAAUAAGGACCGGCUAACUCCGUGCCAGCAGCCGCGGUAAUACGGAGGGUACAAGCGUUGUCCGGAUUUAUUGAGUUUAAAGGGUACGUAGGCAGGAUUUUAAUUCAAUGGUGAAAGCCUCCAGCUCAACUGAAGAACUGCCGUUGAAACUGAAAUUCUUGAAUAUGGAUGAAGUGGCUGGAAUAUAACAUGUAUCGUUGAAAUGCUUAGAUAUGUUAUAGAACACCAAUUGCGAAGGCAGAUCACUAAAUCAUUAUUGACGCUGAGGUACAAAAGCGUGGGGAGCGAACAGGAUUAAAUACCCUGCUAGUCCACGCCAUAAACGAUGUUCACUCGCUGUUGGCGAUAUACUGUCAGCGGCCAAGCGAAAGCAUUAAAUGGACCACCUGCCGAGUACAAU
Molecule: ribosomal RNA, 824 nt
Filed under: uncultured Bacteroidota bacterium
Lineage: Bacteria; Pseudomonadati; Bacteroidota
Description: bacterial SSU rRNA
Rfam family: Bacterial small subunit ribosomal RNA
Source: RNAcentral